UCGAUAAUAGUUGAUAUUAUUUUUUAAUAAUCAUAACAAAAAUUACAUCUAAUAUCAGCGAGGUGUUUAGUUGGAUGCAGAUCAUAAUAUCACAACACAUUAAAAUUGACUAUGUAAAGCAUGAUAAUGGCCUAACUAGAUCUGAGAUUUCACACUAGUGGCAACUAAACUAGUACAGAAGUGCACCCAUGUCUCAUGAAAAGCACGAUCCUCACACUGCAAUUGCUUAUCAGAUCUAAACUACAAAACGAAAUGGCUAGACAUCACAGAUCGCAUGCUUAAAUUAGGAACUACGAAUAGUUCAUGUUCCUGACAAAUUCAGAAGGGUCGCACAGAUCGAACACUAAUUGCCGCAUUCUUGGGGGAAAACAAUUAGACCUACACGGGAAGGUAAUCCAGUAAUCCCAUCACGGUUCAAAUCGUGCAUCAAUUACAACCUAAAUAUUCCAAACCAGAGAAGAUCUGACAACUGAAAGUGUUCAUACAAUCAUUGUUUGAACCACAUACAAGUUCGACAUCGGAAGGGGCGAGAGAUGGGAUGAGAUGGGGUAUGAAGAACCUAGAUGCCGUGCUCGAGGCAGUAAAGUUCCCAGCACGCGUUGCCGAACUGGAUUACGGGAAGUCGCCAGGGUGCCGACGCCGACGAGCGUGGCCGGCAGGAUGCCGAAGAUGAAGUCGCCGAAGGAGAUGCUGCAGCUCCGAGACGCGCGUCGUGGUGCUCCUGCCACGGGCCGGGCGCGCGAGGACGCUAGGGCUCCUCCCGCUUCUCCUCCAGAGGCCUCCGUCGUGCGCUGCUCCCACGCGAGCCCUGCAUGUCACCCAAGGAGAGGAGAGGAGCGGGUCUAUUAGAAACCGCAGGAGAGGGAGGGGAGGCGCGGAGUGCCGUGCGCGUACGUGGUCGCGGCGGGGCAUGCCUCCAUCUUGGCCGUGGACUGCCUACCUGUGGUCGCCGGGCCGGCGAGACGGUGCGCCGUGCGGCAAAAUCCCAAGCACGGAGUGGUUGGUUCGCUCGGAGCACAUAAGGCUGGGGGAGAACAGGAGGGAGGGAGGAGCUCGAUCUCGUCUAUGGUGAGGGUCGUCGAUGGUGGGCGGCGGCGGAUCGAGAUCUGAGGGAGCGAGAGGGUGACUUGGAGACGGGGAUCUGGGAUCGAGGGGCGCGGGAGAGGCUGGAGCAGCGGCGCUUGGGGGUGGGGGUCGAGCUCCAUCGGAGGGAGGUGGCCGAUGAGCGUAGGAAUGGAGAUGGAGGCCAGGGGCGGGAGGGCGAGGUGUUAUGACUUGGAUUGGAUCUGGGAGGGAGAAGGGGGCAUCGGCGGCUGGAAUGGGAGGCGAUCUGAGUUAGGGUUUGGGUGGUUGGGCUGCGGGUGGGACGAGGGGUGAGAGAGUGAGGGGGUGUGGGCCGUUGGAUCUGGGAGCAUCCGACGGUCUCUGAUGGUUGAUCCACGUGACAUGUCCAUAUACCAAUCAAAAGGAAGUAUAGGCUUUGAUGAUGUUAUGACCAUGUAAAUUGGUCUUAAUCGAUUAACAGUAAGCAAAGAGCUACGAGUCUGCCAGAUGAUUUUGUCUAGAAAUCAUCCGCCUAGCUAGCCGCCCGGUGUGCGCAUUGGGGGUCGUUCGAUCACAUCAAUAUGUCACGACAGCGCCGAGUGUGAAAAAGCUUCAACGCAUGCAGCACCGAUGACAUCCCCACGAAGCUCCAUUACAGCUCUCAACGACAUGUGCUAAGAGCUUCAACGCUGCACCACGGUGCCCGAUGAAGCUCCAUUGCAGCGUCGGGGAGAUCCAACGCAGCACCGCGACGCCCGGCUGUAAGUUCCCUUCUCUUUUUAUGACAAUGUUUAAGUACGGUUCCCUCAAAUAACUAGAGGUAGUUUCAUACUAGGUGGGAUUUUCGUCGAUUCACUAUAAAGCGGGUCAAAUUUUAACUACAGCUACCUCAUCGUUUGUUCAAAUGAUUCCAUAUUUCGCAUAAGUUUGCAUCUUGGAAUUACAAACAAUGUUGCCAAAGGGAUUUUUUAUUUUAUUUUCACGAAAAACAAUUUUCCAUUUUUUGAGUGCCCAAAAUAAGUUUUUUUGUGAAGGACCUACCAUAUAUUUGUUGCAAAAAUGGACCAAAUCAAUUUUAUAAAAUAUUAGGCCAUGUUUAAUGCACAAUUGACCAAAUGGUUGGGUUUCAAAAGUUUCUACCCACCUCUAGUGAAAAAGACAAAUUUCCGCCGAUCCAGCUGGAAGCGGGUCAAGUUUGAAAUGCAGCUGCCUUAUAGUUUGCUCUUUAUUUUUUCCAAAAAUCCUUUCUAGGUACAUAAGUAUAUAUUUAAUCAGAUAAACACCAAAAGUUUCCAAGAUUCAACCACUAUCUAGGAACGGUCAUGCCCGCCGUUUUGACCGCAUUUUGAAACGGGCAUAGAAAAUUCAAAAAAAAUCAAAAAAUGAGAAAACCUUCGGAUUGUGUCAUUAUAUGUGACAAAGGUACCAGAAAAAUAAUAAUCUUGUAAUACGGCAAUUAUUUUUAAAAAGUGUUCUUAGAAAUGAGCUAUCAUGCAUGAAGAUUCAUGGCUUUCAAGCCAAAUAAUCAAUCUUAUGGUGACAUUCAUGACAUAGUUUGUUCAAAUGAUCUCAUAUCAUGCACAAGGGUGCAUCUUGGAAUGGCAAACAAUGUUGCCUAAGGAAGUUUUCAAUUUCUUUGGACAAAAAAUUAAUUUUGUAUUUUUUGAGUGCCCAAAAUGAGUUGUUUUUGUGAAGGACCUACCAUAUAUUUGUUGCAAAAUGGGACCAGGUUAUUUUUAUAAUAUAUUAGGCCAUAUUUAAUGUACAAUUAACAAAAUAGUUGGUUGUCAAAAGUUUUUAUACACCUCUCGUGAAAAAGACAAUUUUCCACCGAUUCAGAUGGAAGCGGGUCAAAUUUGAACUGCAGCUGCCUCACAGUUUGCUCUUUAUUUUUUCUAAAAAUCAUUUGUAGGUACAUAAAUAUCUAUUUAAUCAGAAAUACAUGGGUUGGUGGUGAUACGUUGUGGUUUGGAUUGUGGUCGAGGGCCCCAACUCCAGAGCGCGUAAACUCGCAUGCCCGCCGCAUGGUCACCGCAUGACCGUGGCGUUGCCACGCGUUCUGGGCGGCGUAUGUCUAGUGGGUUGGGCACUCCCCCGGUAGGUGUUAGGAAGAAGAAGGCAAUAGAAGAAUCUCAUGAGGAGACUGAACUGAGCUCAAACAUGAAUUAGCACCCCAAGUAUUUGAUUAGUGGUGUGGAAAAUGCACAUGGCCAAUGGGCCUGAGUUUUGCCCGAGGAUGAUCAUCUAUUAAGGACAUUGUCUUGAAAAAUUUGCAGCUCAAAUGGAGGAGCCUAGGUGUCACUUGCUUUGCAACAUACCACACUGGACAUAAAUAUGAAUGUUGAAGCUAGACUCAAAUGAAUGAAUGGAUUGAUCUGAAAUUUGGAGGAGAAUGAUAAUUUGGGCAUAUGAAGGCACUUUAAAAAUUUCAUACCAUUUGCAUAAAUAAAAAUGGUACUUCUUUCACAGUGCUCUCCACUGGAUAGAAAAAUGGGAAAAAUGCUGAGGGAAAUUGGCUAGAAUAAAUGAGCUAAAAUUUGGUGGAGGGAGGUUCUAUGGGCAGGGUCAUGUCGUGGUAAAUUUUCAGCAAUUAUAAAUUAACAUAAAAUAUAGUUGCUUCACAAACUAAAAAUAUCACUAGAAACUAAGAUUGGAUGGUGAGCUCACAUGGAUUGUUAGAUGGGGCUCAAAUUUUGUGGAUAGCUAUGAUUUGAGAAUAUAGAAGAUCUGGCAAAAAUUCAGCUCAUUGGGAUAUGCCUAGCUAGUACUUCCUUCACAAAUGUUCGAGCUGAACAAAAACUUUGGAAAUUUGCUGAGGAAGAUUUACUAGGCAAAUUGAGUUGAAUAUUGUCAUGAGGCAAUGAUUUGGAUAGUAAAGAAUGCUCAAUUUUUUUGGGAAUUUUGGGAAUGACAGAAAUAUAGGGUGCUUCACAACCUAGGGCAAAAAUUGACACAUAGACAUGACACAUAGGCAAAACUGAUGAGGUGGCGCCUAGUCGUAGGAAUGCACCACAAUUUACAAGGCUAUGACCAUCUAUAUUGGUCGUUAUCAGCUAGAAAUAAGGCAGCAGACCAGUGUUGUUUGCUUUACGACCAUUUUGUGUAAGGAAAUUAUGACCUUUUUGACCAAAAUGGUCGUUAUGGUUUAGGGUUUGGAGCCCACAGAAUAGCUUUUGGCCAAUUGGUCUCAAAUGGUCAUACAUUUAUGACCAAUUCUUCCAGGGUCACUGACAGAAGGUCACAAUUUGACAUAUUUCUUGUAGUGAGGACCAGGAGAAAACAUCUUUCAUCACGCCCUUUAGAGCUUUCUGCUAUGUGUCUAUGCCUUUUGGGCUCAAGAGUACCUAGGCGACUUAUCAGUAUUGUGUUCAAAAUUGCCUUCACAACCAGAUAGGACGCAAUAUUCAUGCUUAUCUGGAUGAUAUUGUUGUGAAGUCUAGAAAGAAGGAGACCUUGCUAGAUGAUUUGAAGGAGACCUUUGAUAACCUCCGGGUCUACAAGAUGAUGCUUAACCCGGCCAAAUGGGUUUUUGGUGUGCCUGCAGGCAAGCUCUUGGGUUUUCUGGUCUCCAAGAGAGGUAUUGAAGCUAACCUGAAGAAAAUAAAGGCUAUCACUUCAUUAGCUAAGCUGGCGUGUGUUAAUGAUGUCCAGCGUUUGGCGGGUCGUAUUGCGGCUUUAAGCCGGUUUAUAAGCCUCCUAGGAGAGAAGGCUAUUCCUCUGUACCAGAUGAUGAAUAAAACAGAUCACUUUGUCUGGAGUGAUGCUGCUAAUGAGGCAUUCGAGGCACUUGAAAAACAAUUAGCUGAGCCACCAGUUCUUGUAGCUCCUGUUGGUCAGGUGCUUCAGCGACUCAGAUUUGGUGGCUCAGCAAGUCUCAGGAACUUGGGAUUCUAAGGACCCGCUCAUGGUGGCUUAUUGCCGGGCGGUUGACAGUAUUGCUGGUCAUUUCAAGGGUUAUCAAGUGGAACAUGUUGAUCGUAGAAAGAUUGAGGCGGGUGAUGCUUUAAGCCGGCUAGGGUCUCAGCGUAAGCCGGUACCACCAAAUGUUUUUCUUGAUAUAUUAAAUAACCCUUCAGUUUAGCUACCAACAGAGGAGGAUCUUGCAAUCCCUGACCUGGAGGCACAGUUGGUGGCGGCUCUUCAUGCCAUCCCUGAUUGGACAGUUCCUUAUGUGGCUUAUAUGACCUGGGGAGAGUUACCUGAGGAUGAAACUUUGGCUAGGCAAAUAACCCGACGGUCUAAGUCGAUGACUAUUGUCAAUGGCGAGUUACACCGAUUCAGUGCCACAGGUGUGUUCCAGCGCUGUGUUUCUCCUGAAGAGGGCCGUGAGAUUCUAAGGGAGAUUCAUGAAGGAGAUUGUGGCCAUCACGCUGGCUCUAAAUCUCUUGUGGCUAAAGCUUUUCGUCAUGGGUUUUAUUGGUUGACGGCUCAUGCUGAUGCAGAAGAUCUAGUUAGCAAGUGUGACAACUGUCAGAAAUUUUCUAGACGAGCUCAUGUGCCCGCUCAAGAAUUGAGGAUGAUUCCAAUUGCUUGGCCGUUUGCAGUCUCGUGGCUGGAUAUGGUUGGACCUUUCAAGAGAUUCAAGGAAAAAGAGACCCAACUCUUGGUGGCGGUUGACAAGUUUACCAAGUGGGUUGAGGUAGAGCCGGUCAGCAAGUGUGAUGCGGCAACGGCAGUUCAAUUCAUUAAUAAGGUGAUCUUCUAUUUUGGCUACCCUCAUAGUAUCAUAACUGAUAAUGGCACUAAUCUUUCUAAGGGUGCUAUGAAAGAGUUAUGUCAACGGGAGCAUAUUCGUCUUGAUGUCUCAUCAGUGGCUCACCCCCGGUCCAAUGGUCAAGCUGAAAAGGGUCAAUCAAGAAAUCUUGAGAGGGAUAAAACCCCGGCUUAUGGUCCCUUUCCGGAGAACGCCGGGUGGCCGGGUUGAGGAAUUACCCUCAGUACUUUGGAGUAUUAAUACCACCCCCAACAGAUACACAGGCUACACGCCCUUCUUCAUGGUCUACGGGGCAGAGGCGGUUCUUCCAAGUGAUAUCCGUCAUGACUCGCCCCGGGUGGUGGCUUAUGUUCAAGCUAUCAAUGAAAAGGCACGUCAGGAUGCUCUUGAUAUGUUGGAUGAGGAGCGUGACCUUGCGGUGGCUCGUUCGGCGAUAUACCAGCAAGAUUUGCGUCGCUAUCAUAGCCGCUGGAUUAAAAUCCGGACCUUUCAAGAAGGUGACUUGGUGCUUGAUGACCCACAAGUAUGGGGAUCUAUCGUAGUCCUUUCGAUAAGUAAGAGUGUCGAACCCAACGAGGAGCACAAGGAAAUGACAAGCGGCUUUCGGUAAGGUAUUCUCUGCAAGCACUGAAAUUAUCAAUAACAGAUAGUUUUGUGAUAAGGUAAUUCGUAAUGGGUAACAAGUAACAAGUGUAAAUAAAGUGCAGCAAGGUGGCCCAAUCCUUUUUGUAGCAAAGGACAAACCUAGACAAACUCUUAUAUAAAGGAAAGCGCUCCCGAGGACACAUGGGAAUUAUCGUCAAGCUAGCUUUCAUCACGCUCAUAUGAUUCGCGUUCGUUACUUUGAUAAUUUGAUAUGUGGGUGGACCGGUGCUUGGGUGCUGCCCUUCCUUGCACAAGCAUCCCACUUAUGAUUAACUACUCUCGCAAGCAUCCGCAACUACUAAAGAAGAAUUAAGGUAAAUCUAACCAUAGCAUGGAACAUAUGGAUCCAAAUCAGCCCCUUACAAAGCAACGCAUAAACUAGGGUUUAAGCUUCUAUCACUCUAGCAACCCAUCAUCUACUUAUUACUUCCCAAGGCCUUCCCCUAGGCCCAAAUAAUGAUGAAGUGUCAUGUAGUCGAUGUUCACAUGACACCACUAGAGGAAAGAUAACAUACAUCUUAUCAAAAUAUCGAAUGAAUACCAAAUUCACAUGACUACUUAUAGCAAGACUUCUCCCAUGUCCUCAGGAACAAACAUGACUACUCACAAAUCAUAUUCAUGUUCAUAAUCAGAGGGGUAUUAAUAUGCAUUAAGGAUCUGAACAUAUGAUCUUCCACCGAAUAAACCAACUAGCAUCAACUACAAUGAGUAAUCAACACUACUAGCAACCCACAGGUACCAAUCUGAGGCUUUGAGACAAAGAUCGGAUACAAGAGAUGAACUAGGGUUUGAGAGGAGAUGGUGCUGGUAAAGAUGUUGAUGGAGAUUGACCCCCUCCUGAUGAGAGGAUCGAUGGUGUUGACGAUGGCGACGAUUUCCCCCUCUCGGAGGGAUGUUUCCCCGGCAGAACAGCUCCGCCGGAGCCCUAGAUUGGUUCCGCCAAGGUUCCGCCUUGAGACGGCGGCGCUUCGUCCCGAAAGCUUCCCUCUUAUUUUUUCUUGUACGAAAGACUUCAUAUAGCAGAAGAUGGGCACCGGAAGCCUGCCAGGGGGCCCACGAGACAGGGGGCGCGCCUAGGGGGGUAGGGCGCGCCCCCACCCUCGUGGCCAGGGUGUGGGCCCCCUCUUGUUGAUUCUUUUGCCAGUAUUUUUUAUAUAUUCCAAAACGUGCCUCCGUGAAGUUUCCAGACUUUUGGAGUUGUGUAGAAUAGGUGUCUAAAUCUAAUAUUUGCUCCUUUUCCAGCCCGGAAUUCCAGCUGCCGGCAUUCUCCCUCUUGAUGUAAAUCUUGUAAAAUAAGAGAGAAAAGGCAUAAGUAUUGUGACAUAUUGUGUAAUAACAGCCCAUAAUGCAAUAAAUAUCAAUAUAACAGCAUGAUGCAAAAUGGAUGUAUCAACUCCCCCAAGCUUAGACCUUGCUUGUCCUCGAGCAGAAGUCGAUAUUGAAAAAUGUGUCCACAUGUUUAGAGAUAGAGGUGUCGAUAAAAUAAAAUUCGAACAUGAGGGCAUCAUGAUCAUUCUUAGAACAACAACAUAUAUUUAUAUUAUCAUAUGAUUUCUUAUGCUGAAGUAAUAAUCUAUUCACAAUGCAAAGUAUGACUCAGAAACUUCAUAAAAACUAACAAACUAUAAUCACGAUCAAUGAAGCAAUUGCAAUUUAUCAUAACAUCGAAAAGAGUCAAUGUAAGAGCUUUUCAGCAAGUCCACAUACUCAACUAUCAUUUAAUUCACAAUUGCUAACACUCAAGCAAUACUUAUGGGUAUGGAGUUUCAAUCGGACAUAGAGAAAGAUAGGGGCUUAUAGUGUUGCCUCCCAACCUUUUACCUCAAGGGUAAUGUCAACAAUAAUAGUUCAUUCUAACUUACAUCCAAUUGGAUAUAUGUAUAUCAGGAUCUUUCCAACACAAUGUGCUUGCCAAAGGAUAAAAUGUAAAAAGGAAAGGUGAAGAUCACCAUGACUCUUGUAUGAAGGUAUAAGACAAAAAUAAAAGAUAGGCCCUUCGCAGAGGGAAGCAGAGGUUGUCAUGUGCUUUUGGGGUUAGAUGCACAAAAUCUUAAUGCGAAAUAACGUCACUUUAUAUUGCCACUUGUGAUAGGGGCCUUUAUUAUGUAGUCCGUCGCGUUUAGUGCUUCCAUAUCACAAGAUCGUAUAAAGCUUAUUUUCUCCACACUAAUAAAUCAUACAUAUUUAAGGAGAAAUUUUUAUUGCUUGCACAAUGACAACUUAGUUGAAGGAUCUUACUCAAUCCAUAGGUAGAUAUGGUGGAUUCUCAUGGCAAAGCUGGGUUUAAGGAAUGUUUGGAAGCACAAGUAGUAUCUCUACUUGGUGCAAAGAAUUUGGCUAGCAUGAGGGGGAAAGGCAAGCUCAAUAUGUUGGAUGAUCCAUGAUAUUAUACUUUAUUUCGGAUAUGAGAAAAAUAACCCAUUACGUUGUCUUCCUUGUCCAACAUCAACUUUUAGCAUGUCAUAUUUCAAUGAGUGCUCACAAUCAUAAAAGAUGCCAAGAUAGUAUAUUUAUAUGUGAAAACCUCUCUUUCUUUAUUACUUCCUAUUAAUUGCAACAAUGACCAAAACUAUGUUUGUCAACUCUCAACAACUUUUAUUCAUCAUACUCUUUACAUGUGAAGUCAUUACUCUCCAUAAGAUCAAUAUGAUCUCUUUAUUUCUUUUUAUUCUUUCUUUUUCUAUUAUUCCCUUAAGAUCAUAUCAAGAUAACCAAGCCCUUGACUCAAGACUAAUCUUUAUUAUAUAUAGCUCACGGACUUGAUUACAUAGAAGGAUCAUAAAGCAAAACUCAAAACUAAACCAUACUAAAAACUUUAUUCUACUAGAUCAAGAUAUAACCAAAAGGAUCAAACUAAGAAAAAUGGUAAAAAUGGUGAUACGAUACCGGGGAACCUCCCCCAAGCUUGGCAGUUGCCAAGGGGAGUGCCCAUACCCAUGUGUUUGUCUCCUUCUUCGGAGGUGGUGAUGAUGGAGUUUUUGAUGAUGUAGGCUUGUUGUCCAUCUUCCAAGGCAUAGGCUCACCAUCAUAGAAGGAUAAUCAGGUCUCCAGGAUCCUCAAAUCUGCAGCCAAACUCAUCCUCUUGAAUCUAUAUUCAUACUCACAGUUUUGGUUUUGCAGGUCAUAGAUCUGGGCCUGGAGGUGCUCUAUUUUCUCGUGAAGCUUGAAGAUGGUCUCCCCAAUGUUCUUGACAUCUAGCUUGUGGUUGUUGGUGAACUCCGUGAUCAUUAUGUGGUUGGCGUCGAGUCCGCGUUCCACCAUCUCCUGGCACUUGAAAACUUGUUGCUCCAUUGCUUCGAGCCUUGUCUCCGUGCUUCCGGUCCUCCUUGGUCCCUCAACAUCGCGGAUGUGCAGCAACCACUCACGCAUCUCAAUGGUUGGAGGAUGUUGCAGCACUUCCGCGAGGUAGGGGUUGAUGACCUUCUCGAAGAACUUGUCCUUGGGGGCGCUUGGAGACGUCAUGGUGCUCUAGAUCUGUCAGAAAAACAGCUCGAAACAAAAGCAGAGGAUUUUAUCGUGGCACGGUGGUCAAAACCUUCGGGAGAUUAUAUAAUGAAUUUUUACCGACCAAAAGAAGUAUCGUGCAAGAAAACAGAGUCCAGAGGGUACACGAGGUGUCCACGAGGCAGGGGGCGCGCCCUCCACUCUCGUGGAUGCCUCGUGUCCCUUUGAGACUACUUCUUAUUUUCCUAUUUUCUUAAAUAUUCCAAAACGGAGAAAAUUUACCAUUAGAACUGUUUUGGAGUCGGUUUACUUACCGUACCUCAUACCUAUUCCUUUUUGGAGUCUGAAACGUUCUGGAAAGUGCCCCUUAUGUAUUCCUCCAGGGUUACAGUUUCAAUAACAUUAGUUUCAACAUUUAUGGGGUUACCUAAGAUAUAAUGUUUGAUUCUUUGAUCGUUCACCACCUUCGGAUUUGUGCCUUCGAAGUUGUUGAUUUUUAUGGCACCGGAACGAUAGACCUCCUCGAUAACGUAAGGGCCUUCCCAUUUAGAGAGAAGUUUUCCUGCAAAAAAUCUUAACCGAGUUGUAUAGCAAAACAUAAUCACCUACAUUAAACUCGCGCUUUUGUAUCCUUUUGUCAUGCCAUCUUUUAACUUUUUCUUUAAACAGUUUGGCAUUCUCAUAGGCUUGAGUUCUCCAUUCAUGAAGUGAGCUAAUGUCAAAUAGUCUCUUCUCACCGGCAAGUUUGAAAUCAUAAUUGAGCUCUUUAAUGGCCCAAUAUGCUUUAUGUUCUAGUUUAAGAGGUAAGUGACAUGCUUUUCCAUAAACCAUUUUAUAUGGAGACAUACCCAUAGGAUUUUUAUAUGCAGUUCUAUAGGCCCAUAAUGCAUCAUCAAGUUUCUAGGACCAAUUCUUUCUAGAUCUAUUAACAGUCUUUUGCAAAAUUAAGUCUAGCUCUCUGUUACUCAAUUCUACUUGACCACUAGACUGCGGGUGGUAUGGAGAUGCAAUUCUAUGGUUAACAUCAUACUUAGCAAGCAUUUUACGAAAAGUACCGUGAAUAAAAUGUGAACCACCAUCAGUCAUUAAGUAUCUAGGGACUCCAAACCUCGGGAAAAUAACCUCUUUAAGCAUCUUAAUAGAAGUGUUAUGAUCAACACUACUAGUUGGAAUAGCUUCUACCCACUUAGGAACGUAAUCAACAGCAACUAAAAUAUCUGUAUACCCAUUAGAGGAAGGAAAUGGCCCCAUAUAAUCGAAGCCCCAAACAUCAAAUGGUUCAAUAACAAGUGAAUAGUUCAUAGGCAUUUUUUUACGUCUACUAAUAUUACCAAUUCUUUGGCAUUCAUCACAAGACAAGACAAACUUACGGGCAUCCUUGAAGAGAGUAGGCCAAUAAAAAACGGAUUGCAAUACCUUAUGUGCAGUUCUAUCUCCAGCGAGGUGUCCUCCAUAAGCCUCGGAGUGACACUUGCGUAGGAUCUGUUCCUGUUCAUGCUCAGGUACACAACAUCUAAUAAAACCAUCUACUCCUUCUUUAUAAAGGUGUGGGUCAUCCCAGAAGUAAUGUCUUAAAUCAUAGAAAAACUUUUUCUUUUGCUGGUAUGUGAAACUAGGUGGUAUAAAUUUAUCAACAAUGUAAUUAGCAUAAUCAGCAUACCAUGGAGUAGUACGAGAAGCAUUUAUGACAGCCAAUUGUUCAUCACGAAAGCUAUCAUCUAUAGGUAGUGGGUCAUCAAGAACAUUCUCUAACCUAGACAAGUUGUCUGCAACGGGGUUCUCAGCUCCCUUUCUAUCAAUGAUAUGCAAGUCAAAUUCUUGUAGUAGGAGAACCCAUCUAAUAAGUCUAGGUUUAGCAUCUUUCUUUUUCAUAAGAUAUUUAAUAGCAGCAUGAUCAGUGUGAACAGUUACUUUAGAGUCAACAAUGUAAGGUCUGAACUUAUCACAAGCAAAUAGAACUGCUAAAAAUUCUUUUUCAGUAGUAGCAUAAUUUCUUUGGGCACUGUCUAAAGUUUACUAGCAUAUUGGAUAACACUUAAUUUCUUAUCAACUCUUUGUCCUAGAACAACACCUACAGCAUAAUCACUAGCAUCACACAUAAUUUCAAAGGGUAAAUUCCAAUCAGGAGGCUGAACAAUAGGUGCAGAAAUCAAAGCUUUCUUGACUAUUUCAAAUGCUUCUACACAAUCAUCAUAAAAAACAAAAGGAAUAUAUUUUUGUAAGAGAUUAGUCAAAGGCCUAGAAAUUUUUGAGAAGUCUUUAAUGAACCUCCUAUAAAAACCGGCAUGACCAAGGAAAGUUCUUAUACCUUUAAUGUCCUUAGGACACGGCAUCUUUUCAAUAGCAUCAACUUUAGCUUUAUCAACUUCAAUACCUCUUUCAGAAACUUUAUGCCCCAAGACAAUACCUUCAUUAACCAUAAAGUGGCACUUCUUCCAAUUCAAGACAAGAUUAGUUUCUUCACAUCUAUGCAAAACUCGACCGAGGUUGCUCAAGCAAUCAUCAAAAGAAGAUCCAUAAACGAAGAAAUCAUCCAUGAAAACCUCAACAAUCUUUUCACAAAAAUCAGAGAAUAUGGCCAUCAUGCAUCUUUGAAAGGUAGCAGGUGCAUUACAUAAACCAAAAGGCAUACGCCUAUAAGCAAAAGUACCAAAAGGGCAAGUAAAAGUGGUCUUUUCCUGGUCCUCUUUUGACACAGGUAUUUGAGAGAAACCAGAGUAACCAUCUAGAAAGCAAAAAUGUGUAUGUUUGGAUAAUCUUCCUAGCAUUUGAUCAAUAAAAGGUAAAGGGUAAUGAUCCUUUUUAGUAGCUUUAUUUAAUUUGCUGAAAUCAAUUACCAUCCUAUAAUCUAUAACAAUUCUUUGUGGGAUCAAUCCAUCUUUAUCAUCAGGAGCAAGAUUAAUACCUCCCUUCUUAGGGACACAAUGGACAUGGCUUACCCACUGACUAUCAACAACAGGAUAAAUUAUACCUGCCUCCAGAAGCUUUAGUAUUUCUUUUCUUACCUCUUCUUUCAUCUUAGGAUUUAACCAUCGUUGGUUAUCAACAACCGGUUUAGCGUCUUUCUCCAAUUUUAUUUUAUGUUGGCAUAGAGUGGGACUAAUGCCCUUAAGAUCAUCAAGAGUAUAUCCAAUAGCAGCACGGUGCUUCUUCAGAGUUUUCAAUAAUUUCUUUUCUUCAUGCUCUGAAAGUUUAGCACUAAUAAUAACAGGAUAUAUCUUAUUUUCAUCAAGAUAAGCAUAUUUAAGGCUAUCAGGUAAUGGUUUAAGCUCAAACACGGGAUCACCCUUGGGUGGAGGAGGAUCCCCUAGGAUUUCAACAGGCAAGUUGUGUUUCAAAAUAGGUCCCUAUUUAAAGAAUGCUUCAUCUAUUUCCCUUCUUUCAUUCAUAAACAUAUCAUUUUCAUGGUCUAGCAAAUAUUGUUCUAAAGGAUCAUUAGGAGGCAUGGCAAUAGAAGCAAGACCAAUAAUUUCAUCCUUAUUAGGCAAUUCUUUAUCAUGGGAUUGUCUACGAAAUUUAACAAAAUUAAAGUCAUGAGACAUAUCCCCUAAACCAAUCGUAACAAUAUCCUUUUUGCAGUCUAUCUUAGCAUUAACAGUAUUCAAGAAGGGUCCACCAAAUAUAAUGGGACAAAAGUCAUCUUGUGGGGAACCAAGAACAAGAAAAUGAGUAGGAUAUUUAAUUUUCCCACACAAGACUUCAACCUCUCUAACAAUCCCAACUGGUGAAAUAGUAUCUCUAUUGGCAAGCUUAAUUGUAACAUCAAUAUCUUCUAACUCAGCAGGCGCAAUAUCAUGCAUAAUUUCUUCGUAUAAAGAAUGAGGUAUUGCACUCGCACUAGCACCCAUAUCACAUAAGCCAUGAUAGCAAUGAUCUCCAAUUUUAACAGAAAUAACAGGCAUGCCUACAACAGGUCUAUGUUUAGUUUUAGUAUCGGGUCUAGCAAUUCUAGCAGCUUCAUCACAGAAGUAACUAACAUGCCCAUCAAUAUUAUCAACCAAGAGAUCUUUAACCAUAGCAAUACUAGGUUCAAUUUUAAUUUGCUCAGGGGGUGUAGGUGUUCUAGUAUUACUCUUACGAACCACAGUUGAAGCUUUAGGAUGAUCCUUUAUUCUAACAGUAAAUGGUGGUUUCUCAAUAUAAGCGGUAGGAAUAAUAGGAUCAACAUUAAUAGGUUCAACUACCUUUACUUUAAUGGGAGGAUGAUAUUUAAACCACUUCUCCUUAGGGAGAUCAACAUAAGUAGCAAAUGAUUCACAUAAAGUAUCUACUAUCUCUCAAGUCCAUAUUUAGUGCUAAAUUCACGGAAAACAUCGGUAUCCAUAAAAGAUUUAACACAAUCAAACUUAGGUGUUAUACCUGACUCCUUACCUUCGUCGAGAUCCCAAUCUUCAGAGUUGCAUUUAAUUCUUUCCAAUAAAUCCCAUCUGAAUUCAAUAGUCUUCAUCAUAAAAGAACCAGUACAAGAAGUAUCGAGCAUGGAGCGAUUGUUAAGAGAAAGCCGAGCAUAAAAAUUUUGAAUAGUAAUUUCUCUUGAGAGCUCAUGAUUGGGGAAUAUAACAUUGACUUCAGCCUCCCCCAAGCUUGAGCGAUGCUUUCUCCUUUGUGAGGCCAAAAAUUAUAUAUAUAAUUACGAUCACGAUGAACAAGAUGCAUAGGAUAAAACUUUUGAUGAAAUUCCAAUUUUAAUCUAUUGUAGUUCCAUGAUCCCAUAUCAUCACAUAGCCUAAACCAUGUCAAUGCCUUUCCCUUCAAAGAUAAAGGGAAGACCUUCUUCUUGAUAACAUCCUCGGGAAUACCUGCAAGCUUAAAUAAUCCACAACCUUCAUCAACAUAGAUUAGGUGCAAAUCGGGAUGCAAUGUUCCAUCUCUUGUAAAGGGAUUAGCUAGCAGUUUCUCUAUUAUACCCGAAGGAAUUUCAAAGUAAACAUUUUCAGUGGGUUCAGUAGGUUGAGGAGCAACUCUUUGCUCUACUGGUCGGGGUGAAGAUACCCCGAACAAGCCCCUCAAAGGAUUACUUUCCAUAGUAACAAGUGACAGUAAAUUUCAGCACACUAUAUAAAUUUUUCCUUACCAAAGGCACUUCACUCCCCGCCAACGGUGCCAGGAAAGAGUCUUGAUGACCCACAAGUAUAGGGGAUCUAUAUAAGUCCUUUUGAUAAGUAAGAGUGUCGAACCCAACGAGGAUCACAAGGAAAUGACAAGUGGCUUUCAGUAAGGUAUUCUCUGCAAGCACUGAAAUUAUCGGUAACAGAUAGUUUUGUGACAAGGUAAUUCAUAACGGGUAACAAGUAACAAGUGUAUAUAAAGUGCAGCAAGGUGGCCCAAUCCUUUUUGUAGCAAAGGACAAACCUGGACAAACUCUUAUAUAAAGGAAAGCGCUCCCGAGGACACAUGGAAAUUGUCGUCAAGCUAGUUUUCAUCAUGCUCAUAUGAUUCGCGUUCGUUACUUUGAUAAUUUGAUAUGUGGGUGGACCGGUGCUUGGGUGCUGCCCUUCCUUGGACAAGCAUACCACUUAUGAUUAACUACUCUUGCAAGCAUCCGCAACUACGAAAUAAGAAUUAAGGUAAACCUAACCAUAGCUUGAAACAUAUGGAUCCAAAUCAGCCCCUUACAAAGCAACGCAUAAACUAGGGUUUAAGCUUCUGUCACUCUAGCAACCCAUCAUCUACUUAUUACUUCCCAAAUCCUUCCCCUAGGCCCAAAUAAUGAUGAAGUGUCAUGUAGUCGAUGUUCACAUGACACCACUAGAGGAAAGACGACAUACAUCUUAUCAAAAUAUCGAACGAAUACCAAAUUCACAUGACUACUUAUCGCAAGACGUCUCCCAUGUCCUCAGGAACAAACGUGACUACUCACAAAUCAUAUUCAUGUUCAUAAUCAGAGGGGUAUUAAUAUGCAUUAAGGAUCUUAACAUAUGAUCUUCCACCGAAUAAACCAACUAGCAUCAACUACAAGGAGUAAUCAACACUACUAGCAACCCACAGGUACCAAUCUAAGGCUUUGAGACAAAGAUCGGAUACAAGAGAUGAACUAGGGUUUGAGAGGAGAUGGUGCUGGUGAAGAUGUUGAUCGAGAUUGACCCCCUCCCGAUGAGAGGAUCGAUGGUGAUGACAAUGGUGAAGAUUUCCCCCCUCGGAGGGAUGUUUCCCCGGCGGAACAGCUCCGCCGGAGCCCUAGAUUGGUUCUGCCAAGGUUCCGCCUCGAGACGGUGGCGCUUCGUCACGAAAGCUUCCCUCUUAUUUUUUCUUGGACGGAAGACUUCAUAUAGCAGAAGAUGGGCACCGGAAGCCUGCUAGGGGGGCCACGAGACAGGGAGGUGCGCCCAAGGGGUAGGGCACGCCCCCACCCUCGUGGCCAGGGUGUGGGCCCCCUCUAGUUCAUUCUUUUGCCAGUAUUUUUUAUAUAUUCCAAAACGUGCCUCUGUGAAGUUUUAGGGCUUUUGGAGUUGUGCAGAAUAGGUCUCUAAUAUUUGCUCCUUUUCCAGCCCAGGAUUCCAACUGCCGGCAUUCUCCCUCUUCAUGUAAAUCUUGUAAAAUAAGAGAGAAAAGGCAAUAGUAUUUUGACAUAAUGUGUAAUAAUAGCCCAUAAUGCAAUAAAUAUCGAUAUAAAAGCAUGAUGCAAAAUGGACUUAUCAGUGCUCCAGCUCAUCCAAGAUCAAACAGAUAUGCAUAAGUUGUCACCACCUUGGGAAGGACCUUUUGUGGUCAGCAAGAACCUGAACAACGGGUCAUAUUACCUCAUUGAUAUUCGAGACCACAAGGACUCAUGCACAUCGGAGGAGGAGACCCGUCGGCCUUGGAACAUUGCUCAUCUUCGGCCUUAUACACCUGAGCCACCGACUCUUGUGAUGUACAUAGUUUCUUCAGUGUACAUAUUAUGAUCACUAUAAUAAAGCCGGCAUCCUUGAUAAGUCAGGGCCUCUGUCAUUUCCAUUAUAAAGUGUCUGAGCCUUUAUUAGUUGUUCAUAAGGUCAAUUAGGGGCAACCUGCCCAAUGAGCAGAGCCUUGAUUACCCUCUUGAUCCGGCUUACAUGUCGUCUCAUUGGUCACAUAGGGGCUACCUGCUCAAUGAGCAGAGCCUUGAUUACCCUCUUGAUCCGGCUUAAAUGUCGUUUCUUUGGUCACUUGGGGGCUACCUGCGCAAUGAGCAGAGCCUUGAUUACCCUCUUGAUCUGGCUUACAUGUCGUCUCAUUGGUCAUUUGGGGGCUACCUGCUCAAUGAGCAGAGCCUUGAUUACCAUCUUGAUGGGCUUACAUGCCAGGUGUAAACACCAAAUUUCGGGUUAACCGACCUGUAUGUCGUUGCUACUCCGCCCAGGUAAUCCUGAAAUGACCCGUCGUGUUCUUAACAGUCAAUCUUUCAAAUAAGACCCUUAACUCGUUAAAGUUAAAUUGGCGGUUUGUCAUGUGAGGGCCGGCUUACAGGUGUGCUGUAAAAUAACUCGGUGGCUGUGCGGCCCAUGAAAGCACUUUGAAGAUUUAGGCUUGGCGGCCUAUGAAAGCCUUGUGUUUCUAAUUUGCUAUUUUUCUAACAAUUUUGGAUUCAUAUCCUUCUUCCAUAUUAAUAUAUGGUUUUCACAAUUCAGGCCAUGUAGCCUUGAUUCUAUGACUCAUAUUUGAGCAUAUUGGGUUAAUAACCUGCCCUGAUAAGCAGACUUUAAGUCGCUCAGAUGAUUCGUCUUGAAUAAAUUCAAGUCAUGAUAAUUCAUGUUUACGGGUUAAUACCCAUGCUGGAUUAAAAUCAUUACAGUGUCAUCAUGAUAUCAGUCUAUAGGAAGUAUGAUGAUGUUUCAUAUGAUUCACAUAACUGAUAAUAUUAUACGCACAAGUGGCAGGUGAUAAAAAUCAAGCAUGGCGGUUUAAACAUUCAAAGGAUAUCACAUGCACGAUGGCAUAGCAGAUCAUUGUUUCAACUAGCCUAUUACAAGGCUUUCCAAAGCCCAAAUGAUUAAGAGUUUUUCAAAGACAAGUGCCACACCGCGAUCUAAGAGUCGCCCCUUGGAUCAGUUGUUUUGGUCUUGAUGAGUUGAAGCUUCCGGAUUAUCCUGCACCAUUUCUUCUUCUUCCUCCACCGUCUGGAAGUCAGGUGAUGACCAGUCGAUGCCAGUUAAAGCUUUGAACACAGCUUCAUCAUCCAUAAGGGUGGCUGGAUCAACAUCAGGAGCAAAAGUGUGCUUACGCAUUGGAGGGAUGAGCUCCAUCACUUCAUAAGCCGGCACAUUCACUUUUGAGUUAUCCAUUGUAUAAGCUGCCUGAUAUUUGGACAAAUCAGUUUCUUCGGCCAAUUUGCUCACCAAAGGUCGCAUCUCCUUGACGCACUUGGUAAAAUCUGCUUCUUCAAAAGGCGAUCCAUCCUCUUUAAAGCUUGGACAUCCGGUGGCCAACUCCAUAGGGUCUAGUUCCGCUUGCCAUGCUUUGGCCCAGCUCAAAGCAGUGAUGGCGCCAGCUCGGGAGGAUGAUCGCUUAAUUUCUUCAAUUCUCUUGGGUAUGACAGAUAAUUUGUCUAGUACCUCCCUGAUGAGUGAAGGUGGUUGUUUACUGUGCGAGAUGGCUGCUAUGUUUUGCUGAGUGCCUGUAUACAGCUGCUCCACGAGAGUGUAAACCGCCUUCAGCUUCACCAACAUGUCUUGGUCAAGGUUGGCACUCCUAGGGCCUGUUGAAUAAGUGCACAGAUAAGUCGUCGGACAGAUUAAAUUGGAAGUGCUCGAAACAUCUUGAAUUACUUACCAAAGGUAGCAGCUUCAUCUGGGAUAUAUAGCGUUUUAAGCCGGUCAAUUCUGCAACAGUCUCUUUCCAAGAGGAUUCGGCAGUCUCUGCUCUUUGUACCAAGAUGGCCUUCUCAUUAUCCCAGGCGGUUCUUUCUGUUGAGAAUCCAGCUUUGAGCUUCUCGCUUUCUUCCAGACUAAGUUUAAGCUUAGAGUUAGCUUGGCGUGUUUCAUCCUCUUGUUGCUCAAGACUGGUCUUUAAAUUGACCACCUGGGACUCAGCCUGAGUUAAGGCAUCUUGCAAGUAAGAGUUAAGACGAUAUAAACAUAUUUGUCAAGAUACAAUCUAUGUACAAGUCUCAAGCACGUUGCAAGCAGAGCACUUGACACUUGGGGGCUAAUGUGUGUGAAAGUUUUUCUUCACAUUUAUAUUUUUUGAUCUGACUCAUCUUUAUCAAGAUAAGCCGGCCCGUGAGGGUUAUGGUCUGGAGUUUUUUCAAAUACUGGAAAUGACUCGGUUCAUUUUUAUCAAGAUAAGCCGGCUCAUGAGGGUUAUGACUUUAGAGCUUGCAGAAACAUAUGGACAAGUCCUAACCUUACUCAAAUAUAUCUUUUCCUACGAAUAAUACUUGGGGGCUGGAUGACUAUAUAUGCAGAGGAAACAGAUGUGGAGCACCGGUGCCAGCUCGUGACAAGGCCAGCUGCCAUAUCAUGCACCGGCCGAUGCACGACGCGCGCGCCUCCCGUGCUGCUGCGUCAGCUUCAAGACCGAGCUGUCCAAGAAGCCGCGUCGCAUGCAUGCCAGGACCGCACUGCUCCAGCGCGAGGCGCGCCCGUGAGCGCCGCGGGCUGUCGUGCCUUCACCCGUGAGCUGCGCCGGGUGGUGUGGCUGGCCAAGUUCAAGCUGGAGCUGCCCCCGCGCUACGACGGCGUCCCCGACCCUACGGAGUUUCUCCAGCUCUAUGCGUUGAGCAUCAAGGCGGUGAACGACGAUGACAAGGUCAUAGCAAACUGGUUUCCCGUGGCUCUCAAGGACGGCGCGCGUUCCUGGUUCAUUAACCUGCCUGAGGGAUCGAUCUCCUCAUGGGACGAGCUUCGCGAGCGAUUCAUUGCCAACUUCCAAGGCACCCACGACCGCGCCCUCACCAUCAACGACUUGCGGCGCAUGAAGCAGCGCCCUGGCAAGACCCUUCACAAGUACAUUCAAUGUUUCACCCAGGUUCGCCUCAAGAUCCCAAAGGCCUCGGAUUAAACCAUCAUCUCGGCAUUCACCGACGGUAUCACAGACGCCAGGAUGAGUGAGAAGCUCACCAUCAACGACGACCUAUGCACGACACUGGAGUUGUUUAACCUGGCCGACAAGUGCGCGAAGGUGGAAGAAGGCCGCCUCGCUCUCCUCGGCAACCCCGAUGUCGAGCCCGAAUACAAGAAGGCCAAGUCCAAGGAAGUGAAGCGCAAGGGCCCCACCGUGUUGGUGGCGGAGCCAGAGCUGAAGCACGGCCGCGACCAUGAUGAGCUCAGCAAGGACAGCCGCCUCUUUUGUGUCUACCACAACGUGCGCACCCAUAACACCGAUGAUUGUCAGGAGCUCAGGGCGCCCCGAACGCAACAACCAUGGCUCCGGCCGUGUAGGAGGCCGCGGUGAGGGCCGAUCACUAGUGGAAAAAAGCCUAGCUAUGGCGUGCAAAAAACAGCCUUGCUGGUGUAGGAGCCCCACGCCACCAAUAUGGCGCUAGUGUUAAAAAAUAGUGGUGGCGCUGGAGCCUACGUCAACACUAUUAUGUAUACUAAUGGCGUUGGAUUUAACCACACGACGGAAUUAUCAACAAUAGCUAUGGUGCUUGAUACAGUUCAAUGACAGUAAUAAGAUAAAUGAAUCUCUGGCGUCGCGCAAUGUCCGACGCCAGUACUAGGUUUUUGAAAGAUGUAAAAAAAUACUACCAGGGCAGCAGAAAACCGCUGCCACGGCAGCGUCGUUUAUGACAAAUUUAUAUAAACACGUUUUUGUCCCACAUUGAUUUCGACAAGAUAGUUGCAUUAAUAUAUACACACACAUCGUUUAUUCACAUGCGUACAUAUAUUAACCACACACUACUAGCUAUAUAGGUAACUAAACCAUGCGUGCAUAUUACACCUUGUUCAUUCAACCAUCGUUACUACUAACACGGUACUGCUCUACUUUAGAGAAAUUUUGAAGAAUAUAGGAACCCUUGCAUGUCCAUGGUGUAGGACAGAGAUAUCCAGUCCGAUCUCCAAUCUUGAACUCGCAGUCUCUCAGUACAUAGUUGGCUCCAUUCAUUAAUUUUGAGCCACGUGCAUCUCGUCGUGGUAGUCAUCCAUCACGUGAGGCAGAACACAUCUAGGGAGCUUCUGUUCUUGAACUUGAGAGUAAUAUAGUAAGCAAUAUAUAUAGUAACACAUACAUACUAUGAUUUGAAAGAAGAAUGUGUGUAUGAAAGCGAUCAAAAUCAUACCAUGCAUUUUCUAGAAAUGUUGUUCUUGUUCAACGUGUGCACUAGUGGCAGGCGCGCGGUAUAUAUGGUGCAUCAUUUGGACCAACUCCGUCUUGGAAAAACGGUCUUGAAUAGCAAGGCAUACACUAGUCAAAAUGUAAAAAACAGAAAUUACACUUUGAAGCACAAAUUAUUACCAUAUAAUAUUUGUAGUCACUUUGAAGCAGGAGGGAGAAGCCAUUAUUGUUGUCAAGGUGUGAGGAUCAUCGCACAUUCCCCUAGUGUGGCAACAUUAGGGGCACUCUUCCAUUUUGUGCUACGUUCAUGUAAUUAAAAUCCACACGAUCCCCCUUCCUUCGACCCCGCCUUCUCCCGAACGAUCCCGCAGGCUCGCCCGAGAAACCUGCUUCUCCCGCACAUCUCGGGCGCCCACCCCGAGAAAACUGCCACUUCUUCACGUCCACCAAAUGAUAAAAAAAUAUUGCGCAUGUGGGAUUCGAACCCACACUUCCUUGGCACCAAAGCGCGCCACCACAAUCAACUCAGCCUUAGGUAUUUGUUGCUCAAAUUAAAGAAACUAAUCGUUUGGGCCCCUUUUUUUUACAAUUUUGUUACUACAAAAAGUACAGAAAAUUACCACGAUUUUCCCUCAGGACAAAGUUACCAUGGUAUUCGCAUGCAAGGUAUCAUGCCUGUGUUGCGUAAGUUACCGUGCUAUUUAUAUAGAACUUACCAGGUACUAUGUUUCAACAACUACACCCCUUUCAAAGGUACCACUGUGUUUUGUAUACAAGUUAUAAGGUCUUCGAUGUGUAAAAUACCGUGGUACUUACACAUAAGUUAUCAGGAUAUGUGUACAUCAACCUCGCCCCUGGUCAAAGUUACCAUGGGGGAUUGUACAUGAGUUACCGGGUCUACAAUUCGUAUAUUAUCAUGGUACUUACACCUAAAAACCUGGGUGUGUUCCGGUAACUUUUUACAUAGAUCAAAAAUUACCAUGAUGUUUCUGCGUAACUUAUCACACCUAUAGCGGGUCAAAGUGGGCCGUUUUUCUGGGCCAACCCAUGACACGUGUGCCCCUCAUGACACUAAACAUUAUGUGGCUUUUCCGUGGCACACCAAGUGUUGUGUUCAUCUAAGAGGACCCGCGAGGCAAGUAUAUGUUUUUAACAACUUGUUUUCCUUUGGUAAAAAGUUACCAUCAUGUUUAUAUUGUAAGUUGUCGGUUAUGCGGUGUUUAUAUUAUCAUGUUAUUCACACAAAAAUUAUCGGAGAUGUUUUGAACAACUUUUUCCCGGGACAGAAAGUUAUCAUGGUGAUUCUAGGUAACCUAUCAAGCCCGCAGUGCUUAAAAUAUCACGCUAUUUACACAAAAUUUAUCAGGGGUAUGUUUCAGCAAAAUUUUCCCCCACGGGUCAAAAACUUAUCAUGGUGUUUAGUUAUCGCAGUGCAUAUGUUUUCAUCCUAUUUACACAUAAAAAUACCAGGGGAGGGAGGUAUAGUACCAUGCUAUUUACACAGAAGAUACCGGAGUAUCUUUUCAAAAAAAAAUAUCUUCCCUAUGAUCAAAGUUACCAUGGUGUUUCUACCUCAGUUAUCAUAUGUGCGCUGUGUAUAUUACCAUCUAUUUACACAUAAAUUAUCGGAUAUCUUUUUACAAUUUUCUUCCCCAAUGGUUAAAGUUACCACGAUGUUUGUAACUAAAUUAUCAGGUGUAUGGUGUGAAUGUUAUCGUGCUAUUUACAGAAAUUACCGGGGGGCGGGGUUCAACAAGUUUCUUCCCAAUGAUCAAAGUUACCACGAUGCUUUCACCAAAGUUAUCAUGCCUUCGGUGCUUAUGACCAUGCUACUUACACAUAAUGUACCGCGUGGUAUACAAAAGUUAUCAUGUUGGUAGUGCGUCAUUUAUCGUGGUGGUGAUGGAGAAUUUACCACGGGAAAAGUUUAUGUGCCAGGUUUGAUAGGUGAAACAAAAGUUUUUCAGUGCUAAAAUAUUAAAGGCAAAACAUGUCAAAAACAGUAUUUCCCUUAGCUUGUUCAACAAUGGGUGUCAUAGGUGAGGUGGUUAGCUCCCUUAGUUGAUUACUUAUAGACCAAUGAUCAAAUCUCAAUCCCAGCAUUAUUUUUGCAUGAAAAACGGGGGGCGGGAAAGGAAGGAUAUCAGGCCACACGGUUGCCACUUACAUAUUUCAUUUUUUUAUAUAAAUUUAGUCAAACUUUGUGUAGUUUGACUUUGAUCAAAUCUUAUAUGCACAGUAAAAAGAAACGGAGGGAGUACAUGGGCACUUAUUGAUGAAGAACUUUGGUCGAUUAAGUGCCAAGUGCUGGUUGUUCGUUUUGAUGGAGAAACUCCCACAUGAUAAGUUUGUGCUAAUGGUGGUAACACUUUGGUCGAUCUGGACAUCACGGCGCAAAGCAAUACACGAGGCGGUUUUUCAAAGCUCCACAUGCAAUAAAAGAGUUCAUCACCCGGUUCAUCAGGGAUCUAGAUGACCCGGAAAAAAAAAGGGAUCUAGAUGCUGUGAAGGAGAAAAAUGCUGCAGAUCCUAUUCCCAUGGCGACUAUUGCAGCAGCAGGAACUGUUCGACAGCCCAAAGCACCACCAGAAACUUCGCAAAAAUACACGUAGACGCGGGUCGCGGGGUCAGAGCACAAAGAAGAAGUUCAGCAGCUGGGAUCUGUCGUGACAACCAAGGGUACUUUCCUGGGAAGUUCAGCUCUAAUAAUUGAUGGGGUACAUGAUCCCGCAACUCUGGAGGCUAUAGCCUGUCGAGAGGCUAUCCCACGGGCGCAACAUCUUCAGGUGCGAAACUUUGUCAUAUCGUCACAUUCAAAGCAAGUUGUCAAUAAUAUACUGAGGAGCAGUGAGGGUGUGUAUGGAGCCAUCAUCAACGAAAUCAUGGCUAGAUCAGCUCCUUUUUCCUGUAAUUUUAUUUUUCUUUCUAGACAUUUCAAAUGGACUACACCAUACAGAUGUAUGGAGACAUAUUUCAGAGUGUAGAUUCACUCAUUUUGCUCCGUAUGUAGUCACUUGUUGGAAUCUCUAGAAAGACUUAUAUUUAGGAACGGAGGGAGUAGUUAACUUUGAAGCUCAUUGAUUAGCUAAAUUUGCUCUUACUUUAGCUAAGGUCGUCAUGUGUGGCUUGGCAAGAUAAAUCCUGGUUUGCAUCCCACAUUCUGUGGAAUUCAAUCAAUAAAAUGGCUUCUACACCUAAAAAAACAUAUCCCCUCAAACAAGAACAUAGCCCACAAUUCUUGUCAGUUCAAAUUUGAACUAAAACCACAACAAGAAUUAUGGGGCAUAGGGAGUUUCUAUAUUAGAAAAUGACAUGGAAUUGAAAUGGAAAAGUAAAUUGUAGACAGUAUGCAAUCGAGUGAACUCAAUAUUUACAUCUUAGAAUAGAUAGCAGCCCAGGUGGAAAAACUGAAAUUGCACAAGCACCUUGUUUCAUAAAUAAAUAAAUAAAAAGGAGUAGCAGCAUAGAUUAUUAUUAUUAUCUCCCAUCGAAUUUGUGUUACAGGUACAGAAUUUUUAGCACAGCAAAGAGUUGAUUCAGCUUCAGCUCUAGCAAGAUACAAUCACUCAAAUGCUAGCAAUAAUGGGACAAAAUGUCCAUAUUGCAUAACCAUUCAUGCUAAAUUAUCGAAGGAAAUGGGGCUAGACUAC
RNAcentral lists this long non-coding RNA (24675 nucleotides) under Triticum aestivum (bread wheat). RNAcentral's name for it is "long non-coding RNA (TAES_LNC027872)". The record is from RNAcentral. Lineage: Eukaryota; Viridiplantae; Streptophyta; Magnoliopsida; Poales; Poaceae.